UACGUAGGGGGCGAGCGUUGUCCGGAGUUACUGGGCGUAAAGCGCACGCAGGCGGUCUGUUAAGUUUGGAGUGACAGUUGGUGGCUUAACUGCCAAAGUGCUUCGAAAACUGACAGACUUGAGGGCUUCAGAGGGACACGGAAUUCCGGGUGGAGUGGUGAAAUGCGUAGAGAUCCGGAGGAACACCUGUGGCGAAAGCGGCUCACUGGACCAUAACUGACGCUGAUGCACGAAAGCUAGGGGAGCAAACAGG
This 253-nucleotide ribosomal RNA is filed under the name uncultured bacterium. RNAcentral describes it as "partial 16S ribosomal RNA". It matches the Rfam family "Bacterial small subunit ribosomal RNA", at positions 524 to 776 of the family's 1533-position model. The record is from RNAcentral.